Molecule: non-coding RNA, 30 nt
Filed under: Cricetulus griseus (Chinese hamster)
Lineage: Eukaryota; Metazoa; Chordata; Mammalia; Rodentia; Cricetidae
Source: RNAcentral
CACUUGUGAUCCCAGCACUGGAAAAAUAGG